RNAcentral lists this transfer RNA (73 nucleotides) under Myxococcota bacterium. Its description in RNAcentral is "tRNA-Thr". It matches the Rfam family "tRNA". From Rfam's summary of the family: Transfer RNA (tRNA) molecules are approximately 80 nucleotides in length. Their secondary structure includes four short double-helical elements and three loops (D, anti-codon, and T loops). Further hydrogen bonds mediate the characteristic L-shaped molecular structure. tRNAs have two regions of fundamental functional importance: the anti-codon, which is responsible for specific mRNA codon recognition, and the 3' end, to which the tRNAs corresponding amino acid is attached (by aminoacyl-tRNA synthetases). tRNAs cope with the degeneracy of the genetic code in two manners: having more than one tRNA (with a specific anti-codon) for a particular amino acid; and 'wobble' base-pairing, i.e. permitting non-standard base-pairing at the 3rd anti-codon position. Lineage: Bacteria; Pseudomonadati; Myxococcota. The record is from RNAcentral.
GCUGGCGUAGCUCAACUGGUAGAGCAGCUGAUUUGUAAUCAGCAGGUUGCGGGUUCAAGUCCCAUCGUCAGCU